GUACGUAAGUUGUUGCAGUUAAAAAGCUCGUAGUUGGAUCUCAGGCUUGUGGCCGGUGGUCCGCUCGAUACGGGUGUGCACUGCCGUGUCCGGCCUACGUCUGGUCUAACGUCCAUAGUGCCCUUAACCGGGUGCUAUGGAAUGCCAGAAAGUUUACUCUGAAAAAAUUAGAGUGCUCAAAGCAAGCCGUUUGUGCUUGAAUACUGUUGCAUGGAAUAAUGGAAUAGGACCUCGGUUCUAUUUUGUUGGUUUUCGGAGUCGAGGUAAUGAUUAAGAGGGACAGACGGGGGCAUUCGUAUUGCGCCGUUAGAGGUGAAAUUCUUGGAUCGGCGCAAGACGAACAACUGCGAAAGCAUUUGCCAAGGAUGUUUUCAUUAAUCAAGAACGAAAGUCAGAGGUUCGAAGACGAUCAGAUACCGUCGUAGUUCUGACCAUAAACGAUGCCAACUGGCGAUCCGCCGCAGUCUGGCUUAAAGGACUCGGCGGGCAGCCUCCGGGAAACCUAAGUCUAUGGGUUCCGGGGGAAGUAUGGUUGCAAAGCUGAAACUUAAAGGAAUUGACGGAAGGGCACCACCAGGAGUGGAGCCUGCGGCUUAAUUUGACUCAACACGGGAAAACUCACCCGGCCAGGACACCGUA
RNAcentral lists this ribosomal RNA (639 nucleotides) under uncultured eukaryote. RNAcentral's name for it is "SSU rRNA". It matches the Rfam family "Eukaryotic small subunit ribosomal RNA", at positions 601 to 1235 of the family's 1831-position model. The record is from RNAcentral.